Molecule: small RNA, 79 nt
Filed under: Salmonella enterica
Lineage: Bacteria; Pseudomonadati; Pseudomonadota; Gammaproteobacteria; Enterobacterales; Enterobacteriaceae
Also listed under: 1 other name
Description: partial RtT sRNA
Rfam family: RtT RNA
About the family: This family represents a bacterial cis-regulatory element known as RtT RNA. The exact function of RtT is unknown although it is thought that it may be involved in changing the cellular response in relation to amino acid starvation.
Source: RNAcentral
CGCAGCGAGAAAGCGUUGCCGCAGGCAACGACCCGAAGGGUGAGGAGCGGAGCGACGAAUAAUCCUUCCCCCACCACCA